CCAGGGUGGACCGGAGACUGAGGCUGGAGACCAGGGGGACACAGCACUGGACCAGAGGACCAGGAAUCCAUGUCUGGAGGAGCCGUGCUGAAGGAGAUGUUGGAGGAGCCGAGCUGAUGGAGGACCCGUGCUGAAGGAGCUGUUGGAGGAGUCGUGCUGAAGGCCCUGCCUUGUGGAGGCCCUGCCUGGUGAAGGACGUCUGUCAUGGGACUAGGACUCUGUCUGAGGAGAGCUGCUGGUGGAGCUGAGACGCUGGAG
Gadus morhua (Atlantic cod) is the source of this 258-nucleotide long non-coding RNA. RefSeq lists it as uncharacterized. The record is from RefSeq and is a predicted model, not a curated record. The transcript has 3 exons. NCBI's taxonomy places the organism in Eukaryota, Metazoa, Chordata, Actinopteri, Gadiformes, Gadidae.